UACGUAGGUGGCAAGCGUUGUCCGGAUUUAUUGGGUUUAAAGGGUGCGUAGGCGGUUCCAUAAGUCAGUGGUGAAAUACGGCAGCUCAACUGUCGAGGUGCCAUUGAUACUGCGGAACUUGAGUACUGAUGAGGUAGGCGGAAUUGACGGUGUAGCGGUGAAAUGCUUAGAUAUCGUCAAGAACACCGAUAGCGAAGGCAGCUUACCAAGCAGUAACUGACGCUCAGGCACGAAAGUGCGGGGAUCAAACAGG
This 253-nucleotide ribosomal RNA is filed under the name uncultured bacterium. Its description in RNAcentral is "partial 16S ribosomal RNA". It matches the Rfam family "Bacterial small subunit ribosomal RNA", at positions 524 to 776 of the family's 1533-position model. The record is from RNAcentral.